UGAAGUUGUUCUCUCCUAUCGUUUAGUUCACUAUUGAGUUUUAACAAUUCCUUGUUUUGGUUGAUAUUUGGUUACUGCUUUAUUGUGGUGCUACCCUCUUUCUAUUGUAUUCACAGUUAAAUAUGUGUUUCAGUUUUCCAUCACCCUAUUUCAGUCUAGGCUAUUAUAUUAAGCAUUGUGUUUUCUGGUUUGUAAUUUCUCUUGGCUGAUUAUUUCUCACAUGUUGUGGUUCGGACCUCGUUUUGUUGGGAUUAAGGUCGUCUGGUCUCGAUUACUAAAAAAAUCAUCUUGAGCUUGUUAAGAAGGGAUAAGAAUGUUAAUGUUAUGAAUUGUUGAAUUUCCUUCACAAUAUUUGACAAUUGUUUCUCUUUCUGUAAACUUCUUCUUCCCGGUGUGCAUAUGUUUGAAAUGUCGAGCAUGAACGAUUAGUUUUUUUUAAGUUAAACAAAUGUCAAUUUUAACGUCCUUUUAAACUAGAAGUGUGAAGGUGUCAUUUCUCUUCUUGGAAUCCCCUUUUGUUGAUUUAUCUUGACAAAUUGUUUCGCAUAAUAGGGCUGCCCAGUUGAACAGUUUGGGCAAGUAGUUUUCGGCUACAUAUUUAGUAUUAAUCUCAUUCAUUUUUUCUAGUUUGAAUGGUAAUUGAUUGCAUGCUUCGAAUGCUUGUUGUUGAUUGCUUCGUUUCUUAGAUAAAUCAUGAGAUCAAAUUGUAUAUUUGCUUAACGGGUUGUUAAUGUAGAUAAUUUGAGUUUGUUCAAAAACAAAAGAGAAGCCUCUAGUGGAUUACUUCAAUAACUUUAAUCAGUAUUUUAGUAUGUUUGUCUUUAAAUUUUCAAGACUUUGGACGAACACGGGAGCUUUGGAUUACAAUUAUAUCACUUGUCUAGGUUUUGUCCAAAAAACUUUAAAAAAUUUUUGCAUUUGCAUGUCUAUUGUCUUAUUAA
RNAcentral lists this long non-coding RNA (941 nucleotides) under Capsicum annuum. Its description in RNAcentral is "long non-coding RNA (CANN_LNC013687)". Lineage: Eukaryota; Viridiplantae; Streptophyta; Magnoliopsida; Solanales; Solanaceae. The record is from RNAcentral.